Molecule: non-coding RNA, 73 nt
Organism: Megaselia scalaris
Lineage: Eukaryota; Metazoa; Arthropoda; Insecta; Diptera; Phoridae
Source: Rfam
GUAUGUGUGGUGUAGCGGUUAUCACAUCCGCUUAACACGCGGAAGGUCCCCAGUUCAAUCCCGGGCGGGAAUA